UCCUACGGGAGGCAGCAGUAGGGAAUCUUCCGCAAUGGACGAAAGUCUGACGGAGCAACGCCGCGUGAGUGAUGAAGGCUUUCGGGUCGUAAAACUCUGUUGUUAGGGAAGAACAAGUGCUAGUUGAAUAAGCUGGCACCUUGACGGUACCUAACCAGAAAGCCACGGCUAACUACGUGCCAGCAGCCGCGGUAAUACGUAGGUGGCAAGCGUUAUCCGGAAUUAUUGGGCGUAAAGCGCGCGCAGGUGGUUUCUUAAGUCUGAUGUGAAAGCCCACGGCUCAACCGUGGAGGGUCAUUGGAAACUGGGAGACUUGAGUGCAGAAGAGGAAAGUGGAAUUCCAUGUGUAGCGGUGAAAUGCGUAGAGAUAUGGAGGAACACCAGUGGCGAAGGCGGCUUUCUGGUCUGUAACUGACACUGAGGCGCGAAAGCGUGGGGAGCAAACAGGAUUAGAUACCCUGGUAGUCCACACCGUAAACGAUGAAUGCCAGUCGUCGGAUAGUAUACUAUUCGGUGACACACCUAACGGAUUAAGCAUUCCGCCUGGGGAGUACGGUCGCAAGAUUAAAACUCAAAGGAAUUGACGGA
This 588-nucleotide ribosomal RNA is filed under the name uncultured bacterium. RNAcentral describes it as "bacterial SSU rRNA". It matches the Rfam family "Bacterial small subunit ribosomal RNA", at positions 337 to 917 of the family's 1533-position model. The record is from RNAcentral.